UACGUAGGUGGCAAGCGUUGUCCGGAAUUAUUGGGCGUAAAGCGCGCGCAGGCGGCCUUUUAAGUCUGAUGUGAAAGCCCACGGCUCAACCGUGGAAGGUCAUUGGAAACUGAAAGGCUUGAGUACAGAAGAGGAAAGCGGAAUUCCACGUGUAGCGGUGAAAUGCGUAGAUAUCGGAAGGAACAUCAGUGGCGAAAGCGACUUCCUGGACCAAUACUGACGCUCAUGUGCGAAAGCGUGGGGAGCAAACAGG
This 253-nucleotide ribosomal RNA is filed under the name uncultured bacterium. RNAcentral's name for it is "partial 16S ribosomal RNA". It matches the Rfam family "Bacterial small subunit ribosomal RNA", at positions 524 to 776 of the family's 1533-position model. The record is from RNAcentral.